AUCAGACACAUAUUCACGGAAAUCGACCGCGUUGCGACCGAAACCAACACGGCCGAGACAAUGACUCCAAUUCAUCCUAUAAUUGACUAAGUAAGGUCCGACCGACCAAACGCUUGAAAAUUACGGUAGGAUCGACUUGGAACCGUCAAAGUCGAAAACUCCUCCCCGAGGAAUCGAUCUCAGAAGCAGACGAUCACUUAAGCGAUGCCUACACGAGCACGCCCCGGCUCCUCGAACAAACGUAUCGGCACUCGCAUCCCACGUUGAAUACGUCCCGAUCAGAC
This 284-nucleotide long non-coding RNA is filed under the name Brassica napus (rape). Its description in RNAcentral is "long non-coding RNA (BNAP_LNC025171)". Lineage: Eukaryota; Viridiplantae; Streptophyta; Magnoliopsida; Brassicales; Brassicaceae. The record is from RNAcentral.